CAAUAUGACCUGAUUCCUGCAUCCAUCCAGGUCUGUGUGAGUUCCACCAUUGCUGCAGGAAAACCCAGGGCAGACUUCUUUGAAAAACUGGAGUUUGCACUCAUAAACACUUCAAGACAUCCCUGGGGGAAAGACAUUAAAGCAAAGAAAUCAUCCUCAGGAUGCUCAGACUUAUAAAAAGAUUGAAAACAGCAGGAGUGAUUGGAAUGAAAGCCAAGAAGACCCCAAGGCUAUAUCUCCUCCACGAGGUUCAACAGCAUCACAGUCAUUUUGGC
Long non-coding RNA from Lagopus leucura (white-tailed ptarmigan), 275 nucleotides. RefSeq lists it as uncharacterized. Lineage: Eukaryota; Metazoa; Chordata; Aves; Galliformes; Phasianidae. The transcript has 3 exons. The record is from RefSeq and is a predicted model, not a curated record.